UGGGGGGUGCUAUACAUGCAGUCGAGCGGACAGAUGGGAGCUUGCUCCCUGAUGUUAGCGGCGGACGGGUGAGUAACACGUGGGUAACCUGCCUGUAAGACUGGGAUAACUCCGGGAAACCGGGGCUAAUACCGGAUGCUUGUUUGAACCGCAUGGUUCAAACAUAAAAGGUGGCUUCGGCUACCACUUACAGAUGGACCCGCGGCGCAUUAGCUAGUUGGUGAGGUAAUGGCUCACCAAGGCGACGAUGCGUAGCCGACCUGAGAGGGUGAUCGGCCACACUGGGACUGAGACACGGCCCAGACUCCUACGGGAGGCAGCAGUAGGGAAUCUUCCGCAAUGGACGAAAGUCUGACGGAGCAACGCCGCGUGAGUGAUGAAGGUUUUCGGAUCGUAAAGCUCUGUUGUUAGGGAAGAACAAGUACCGUUCGAAUAGGGCGGUACCUUGACGGUACCUAACCAGAAAGCCACGGCUAACUACGUGCCAGCAGCCGCGGUAAUACGUAGGUGGCAAGCGUUGUCCGGAAUUAUUGGGCGUAAAGGGCUCGCAGGCGGUUUCUUAAGUCUGAUGUGAAAGCCCCCGGCUCAACCGGGGAGGGUCAUUGGAAACUGGGGAACUUGAGUGCAGAAGAGGAGAGUGGAAUUCCACGUGUAGCGGUGAAAUGCGUAGAGAUGUGGAGGAACACCAGUGGCGAAGGCGACUCUCUGGUCUGUAACUGACGCUGAGGAGCGAAAGCGUGGGGAGCGAACAGGAUUAGAUACCCUGGUAGUCCACGCCGUAAACGAUGAGUGCUAAGUGUUAGGGGGUUUCCGCCCCUUAGUGCUGCAGCUAACGCAUUAAGCACUCCGCCUGGGGAGUACGGUCGCAAGACUGAAACUCAAAGGAAUUGACGGGGGCCCGCACAAGCGGUGGAGCAUGUGGUUUAAUUCGAAGCAACGCGAAGAACCUUACCAGGUCUUGACAUCCUCUGACAAUCCUAGAGAUAGGACGUCCCCUUCGGGGGCAGAGUGACAGGUGGUGCAUGGUUGUCGUCACCUCCUGUCCUGAGAUGUUGGGGUUAAAUCCCGCAACGAGCGCAACCCUUGAUCUUAUUUGCCACCAUUCAGUUGGGCACUCUUAAGGGGACUGCCGGGGACAAACCCAAGGAAAGUGGGGGAGGACGUCCAAUCAUCAUGCCCCCUAUAAACUGGGGGUACAACCCUGCUUCAAUGGAAGAAAACAAAGGGGGGGGAAACCGCCGGGGUUAAGCCAUUCCCCACAAUUCUGUUUUCUUUUUUGGAUCGAAGGUUGGAAAUCCAAUGGCUGGAAGCUGGAAUCCCUUAUAAUUCCCGGAUACAAUUGCCCCGGGGAAAACUUUCCCGGGCUUGUAACACCGCCGUCACACCAC
Molecule: ribosomal RNA, 1388 nt
Filed under: Bacillus tequilensis
Lineage: Bacteria; Bacillati; Bacillota; Bacilli; Caryophanales; Bacillaceae
Description: bacterial SSU rRNA
Rfam family: Bacterial small subunit ribosomal RNA
Source: RNAcentral